This 72-nucleotide transfer RNA is filed under the name Paenibacillus polymyxa SC2. It matches the Rfam family "tRNA". Rfam says of the family: Transfer RNA (tRNA) molecules are approximately 80 nucleotides in length. Their secondary structure includes four short double-helical elements and three loops (D, anti-codon, and T loops). The record is from Rfam by way of RNAcentral. Lineage: Bacteria; Bacillati; Bacillota; Bacilli; Caryophanales; Paenibacillaceae.
ACUGAAUUAUCAGUUGGUUAGAGUAUCCCUCUGAUAAGGGGAAGGUCAGUGGUUCGAGUCCACUAUUCAGUA